GAUGAACGCUGGCGGCGUGCCUAAUACAUGCAAGUCGAGCGAACGGACGAGAAGCUUGCUUUUCUGAUGUUAGCGGCGGACGGGUGAGUAACACGUGGAUAACCUACCUAUAAGACUGGGAUAACUUCGGGAAACCGGAGCUAAUAUCGGAUAAUAUUUUGAACCGCAUGGUUCAAAAGUGAAAGACGGUCUUGCUGUCACUUAUAGAUGGAUCCGCGCUGCAUUAGCUAGUUGGUAAGGUAACGGCUUACCAAGGCAACGAUGCAUAGCCGACCUGAGAGGGUGAUCGGCCACACUGGAACUGAGACACGGUCCAGACUCCUACGGGAGGCAGCAGUAGGGAAUCUUCCGCAAUGGGCGAAAGCCUGACGGAGCCACGCCGCGUGAGUGAUGAAGGUCUUCGGAUCGUAAAACUCUGUUAUUGGGGAAGAACAUAUGUGUAAGUAACUGUGCACAUCUUGACGGUACCUAAUCAGAAAGCCCCGGCUAACUUCGUG
This 497-nucleotide ribosomal RNA is filed under the name uncultured bacterium. RNAcentral describes it as "partial 16S ribosomal RNA". It matches the Rfam family "Bacterial small subunit ribosomal RNA", at positions 28 to 507 of the family's 1533-position model. The record is from RNAcentral.